RNAcentral lists this ribosomal RNA (233 nucleotides) under uncultured bacterium. RNAcentral describes it as "partial 16S ribosomal RNA". It matches the Rfam family "Bacterial small subunit ribosomal RNA", at positions 99 to 334 of the family's 1533-position model. The record is from RNAcentral.
CGGACGGGUGAGUAAUGUCUGGGAACGUGCCUGAUGGAGGGGGAUAACUACUGGAAACGGUAGCUAAUACCGCAUAACGUCGCAAGACCAAAGAGGGGGACCGUUCGGGCCUCUUGCCAUCGGAUGUGCCCAGAUGGGAUUAGCUAGUAGGUGGGGUAACGGCUCACCUAGGCGACGAUCCCUAGCUGGUCUGAGAGGAUGACCAGCCACACUGGAACUGAGACACGGUCCAG